Molecule: non-coding RNA, 80 nt
Organism: Friedmanniomyces simplex
Lineage: Eukaryota; Fungi; Ascomycota; Dothideomycetes; Mycosphaerellales; Teratosphaeriaceae
Source: the annotation of a GenBank genome assembly
GCCCGCUUGGCUUAGUGGUACAGCGUCUCACUCGUAAUGAAAUGAGAAGAUCCCUCGUUCGAUUCGGGGAGUGGUACGCA